RNAcentral lists this RNase P RNA (348 nucleotides) under Alcanivorax sp. Its description in RNAcentral is "RNase P RNA component class A". It matches the Rfam family "Bacterial RNase P class A". Rfam says of the family: Ribonuclease P (RNase P) is a ubiquitous endoribonuclease, found in archaea, bacteria and eukarya as well as chloroplasts and mitochondria. Lineage: Bacteria; Pseudomonadati; Pseudomonadota; Gammaproteobacteria; Oceanospirillales; Alcanivoracaceae. The record is from RNAcentral.
CGGGUCGGUCAGGCAGCCGCUGGCGGUGCAAGCCGCUGGAGGAAAGUCCGGGCUCCAUAGGGCGAAGUGCCAGGUAACGCCUGGGAGGCGCGAGCCUACGGAAAGUGCAGCAGAAAGCAAACCGCCUAAGCGCGCAAGCGCCGGUAAGGGUGAAAAGGUGCGGUAAGAGCGCACCGCGCCGCUGGCAACAGCGGUGGCAGGGUAAACCCCACCCGGAGCAAGACCAAAUAGGGACCCAUGGGCGUGGCCCGCGCCGGGUCCGGGUAGGUCGCUUGAGGCCCGUGGCGACGCGGGUCCCAGAUGAAUGGCUGUCCACGACAGAACCCGGCUUAUCGACCGAUCCACCUU